Molecule: antisense RNA, 78 nt
Filed under: Pantoea sp. SJZ147
Lineage: Bacteria; Pseudomonadati; Pseudomonadota; Gammaproteobacteria; Enterobacterales; Erwiniaceae
Description: SymR antitoxin
Rfam family: SymR antitoxin
Source: RNAcentral
AGUCAUGAUUACUAUUCCUUCUUCAAUAGUGAUUGUGAUCAGCGAUGCGGAUGUGUUGCCCCACAUUCGUAUCGCGCU